RNAcentral lists this ribosomal RNA (378 nucleotides) under uncultured eukaryote. Its description in RNAcentral is "partial 18S ribosomal RNA". It matches the Rfam family "Eukaryotic small subunit ribosomal RNA", at positions 592 to 976 of the family's 1831-position model. The record is from RNAcentral.
CAAUAGCGUAUAUUAAAGUUGUUGCAGUUAAAAAGCUCGUAGUUGGAUUUCGGGACGGGCCAGUUGGUCCGCCGCAAGGUGUGUUACUGACUGGUCUGUUCUUCUUCGCAAAGACUGCGUGUGCUCUUCGUUGAGUGUGCGUAGGAUUUACGACGUUUACUUUGAAAAAAUUGGAGUGUUCAAAGCAGGCUAUCGCUUGAAUACAUGAGCAUGGAAUAAUGGAAUAGGACUUUGGUCCUAUUUUGUUGGUUUCUAGGACCGAAGUAAUGAUUAAGAGGGACAAUUGGGGGCAUCCGUAUUUCGUUGUCAGAGGUGAAAUUCUUGGAUUUACGAAAGACGAACAACUGCGAAAGCACUUGCCAAGAGUGUUUUCAUUAA